CUAAUGCACACUGGAGGUUUACCUGUUAUUGUGCAGCAGCAGCUGGGACUUACCCCUAACCAAUUUAAAUACUACCUGAUCAUACUUUAAUCGUCGGAUAUUGGCACAGAGAUUCUGGAGAAAUUCUUUGAAAACUAGAAACCUUACAACCGUCCCUGGUUUAUUGUGGAUAAAUCAUCUGAUCAUGAAGCUCAACAAGAAACUGAACAAAUACAAGCUCAAAGCAGACAUGAGUGAAACCCAGCGUUCCCACUCCCAUUCCCCAAAUGUCAGUGCCAAAUGCAGUUCAGGAGACCUAUAAGCUGAGCGGCAAACAUAAUUGACAAUGUAUGGAUCUGCCAGGUCACUGGUUGCCGUGGUUUCACCUGAGCACCUCAGUGACCUUUACGACAGAAGGUCAGAUAAAGAGUAAGAAAAUUGUGCCGACAAUUUUAAUUAGUUGACAUCCUAAAUCAAGUAAAAUAGUAUCUAUAGACCAAUAUGAAAAUGAGACAGAAAAGUGUUGAGUGGAUGUAUGACCAACCCAUGAAUUACUUACUAUUUUUAUAUUAUUCUCCACGAGUCAUUUUCUUGUUGUGAAUAAUAAUGAAUCUGAUCUGAGGCGACUGCUAUUCGAUAAACUUUUAUCCCUAACCCUUAGAUAGAGUUUUCUAAGAGAUAGUUCCUCUGUUAACAGUGUGACUCAGUAUGCAACUAUCAUAAAGUGCAUGUACACCACACACCCCUUUGAAAAUGUAAUGUAAA
Molecule: long non-coding RNA, 744 nt
Organism: Platichthys flesus (European flounder)
Lineage: Eukaryota; Metazoa; Chordata; Actinopteri; Pleuronectiformes; Pleuronectidae
Exons: 3
Source: RefSeq, a predicted model, not a curated record